CCGCCCGGCUCCUCCCGGAGAGGCAGGGGGAGCUCGGGGACCCCCUCUCCCCGGCAGGUCGGCCUUGCGAUCGUCCCUCCCCCGGGCGGGCGGGCAGUGCUCUGCGGUGUCUCUCCGCGUCCCUCCCCCCGGGCGGGCGGUCGGUCUGCGGCGUCUCUCCCUCUCUCUCUCCCCCCCCCCCUUCUCCGGCAGGCCGUGCGAGCGCGGCGGGGCGGGCACUUACCGCUCCGGCAGGCGGAGAAGCGUCGUCGUCGUCGUCCUCCGGCGACGGCGGCCCGAUCUUACUGCAGUGGCGUAUAAUGUAUGCAAAUCUCCCAGCAGCCAAACAGUGCUAACCCCUGUACUGAAAGUAGUUCCAAGGGCUCCGCCAGAAAGAGGAGAUGAGAAGACUUGAUGCAUGGCCUGUGUAUAUUAGGUGGUGAACAGUAUAAGGAUACCAGAAGUGCCUUUCACAUAGACUUGUGGAAUAAAAUGAAUGAAGAGUCAAGCACUGGAGCACACUGUAUAAAUAUGGAAUUCGUAUAAGAACGUGGAUUGGGAUAGUAGUCCAAAAGGUAAUGUAUUUUCACAAAAUAUGCAAGGCUGCCUUUGCACCUAGAAGAAAGCUGCGACAAGGUGUACCUAGGAACAAAAAAGAAGACAAAAUGAUAGUGCCUUGUGCUGAGCGAUGCAACAAAAUUGCCAUAGUCCAUCACCACUGGCUGUAUCAAGAACCAGAUGUGAUGUCCUUCACAAUAAAAAUGUAUGUGUAUUUAAGGCGCAAGGAACCCAAGUCGUGGCAAUAUUGUCUAUAUAUCACCAAGUGAUUAACUCCAGAUACAGCAGAGGUUCCACAAAUGUUUUUCAAGCACAUUCAUUGUGCUGCAUUUGGUUGAAAGACCCAAUAAUAUUGGAGGGUUUUCUAAAAUACUCUCAGGUUUCUUACGGGCUUUGUUCAUGGAACAAAAUUAGCCACACAAAAAAGGUUUCCAAACAAGCAACAAGUGGAAGUUUUCUUGAAACAGCCACUUCCUGGGGUGUCGGUGAUAAAUAGUUAUUCAACAGGGUUGCAAUGUGUUUGCAUGCUAUUCUGUUUACUGAAGCGGGGUUGAUGUGACAAACAAGCAUUGACAAACAAAAUAAUUCAGAAGAACCCAAGGCCCUAUGCAAACAUAUAAUGUGGCUCUGAAAUGCUCCUGUUAAGGGCUUUUGAAAUGACUGUGAUGAUCCAAACAUAUUAUAACAUGGACAUCACUGGUGUUCUCCAUCAUUACUGGGAAGCAAAUAUUUCAGGUUCAAGUUUAAAACACUAUUUUAGAGGUCUGGUAAGAAUUUUAUUAUCUUGACAGAAACAGAUUAGUUGACUCAGAUACCCCUAUAUUCAGAGAUCAAAAACAGCAAAAGAAAACAUAUUUUUCAACUAGCAAAAAUUUUCUCCCAAGUUUUGGGGUGUGUCACCUUGGCCCAAUAUACUCUCCACACUUUUAAGGUAUUAAAACAACUUUCAAAACCUCCUUAUCCUUUUGCUCAAAACAAGUACAAGCUGGAAGCUAUUUGAGUGCACAAGUCAGAGAUCCCUACCACUUUGUAUUGAUAUUACUGCUUGAUACAUUCUACUCAAUAAAAUUAUAUUUUUAUAUUUACA
Long non-coding RNA from Lacerta agilis (Sand lizard), 1624 nucleotides. RefSeq lists it as uncharacterized. The record is from RefSeq and is a predicted model, not a curated record. The transcript has 2 exons. Lineage: Eukaryota; Metazoa; Chordata; Lepidosauria; Squamata; Lacertidae.